RNAcentral lists this ribosomal RNA (828 nucleotides) under uncultured bacterium. RNAcentral's name for it is "bacterial SSU rRNA". It matches the Rfam family "Bacterial small subunit ribosomal RNA", at positions 8 to 812 of the family's 1533-position model. The record is from RNAcentral.
AGAGUUUGAUCAUGGCUCAGAAUAAACGCUGGCGGCGUGCCUAACACAUGCAAGUCGAACGAGAAAGCCCGGCUUCGGUUGGGCGAGUAAAGUGGCGUACGGGUGAGUAACGCGUAGGUAACCUGCCCCCCUGUCCGGAAUAACAGUGCGAAAGCGCUGCUAAUACCGGAUGUUGUCAAGAAGCGGUGGCUUCUUGGGCAAAGUCGGCCUCUCAUUGAAGCUGGCGCAAGGGGAUGGGCCUGCGUCCUACCAGCUUGUUGGCAGGGUAACGGCCUACCAAGGCUACGACGGGUAGCUGGUCUGAGAGGAUGAUCAGCCACACUGGCACUGAAACACGGGCCAGACUCCUACGGGAGGCAGCAGUGAGGAAUUUUGCGCAAUGGCCGCAAGGCUGACGCAGCAACGCCGCGUGGGUGACGAAGGCCUUCGGGUCGUAAAGCCCUGUCUGGUGGGAAGAAUGGGCGGGGAAUUAAUAAUUUUCCGCAGUGACGGUACCACCGAAGGAAGCACCGGCUACUCCGUGCCAGCAGCCGCGGUAAUACAGAGGGUGCAAGCGUUAUUCGGAAUUACUGGGCGUAAAGCGCGUGCAGGCGGGCCGGCAAGUCUGAUGUGAAAGCCCCGGGCUCAACCCGGGGAGUGCAUUGGAAACUGUUGGUCUUGAGUUCUGGAGAGGAUGGGGGAAUUCCCGGUGUAGAGGUGAAAUUCGUAGAGAUCGGGAGGAAUACCAGUGGCGAAGGCGCCCAUCUGGACAGAAACUGACGCUGAGACGCGAAAGCGUGGGGAGCAAACAGGAUUAGAUACCCUGGUAGUCCACGCUGUAAACGAUGA